UCUUUUGUAGAAUAUUGCAAAGCAAAGGUAGUGUUUCAGACCCUAACUCUAACUUAUUUUUCAUUUUCUUUGUUUUAGGACCAGUCUCAAGGCCAAUUCACUGUUUUUUUCUGGAUUGACUGGAGAUUCUGAAGGCCAAGGCUAUUUCCCUCUUUCCAGUAACGUAUUUAAAUUGAUUUGAAAAUGCCUCCAAAAGGUAGGAAAACUAUAAAUUCGAGGAAAUGAUCAUUCGCCUCAAAAAAUAAUAAAAAACGAAAAACCGCUAAAAAUUCCGCUUCAAAUUCUCAGGGAUUGCAGGAAAAUAAUUUUGUUGACAUUGAAGUUGAGGUGGGUGAAGGUUUUAUUGAACUUGGUGAAAUGAUCACAGAAGCAAAUCAAAAUCUUCCAUUAGAGAUUAAAGUAUUGUCGUCAAGUAUUCAAGAUCCAAUAUUUAACCUGCAUCCCGUAUUGUCGUCAAAUACGCAAGCUCCUAUAUUAAACCUUCAUUAUAAAGAGACACCAUCUGCCCAACAACUAGUGAAUUUUGAAAAAGACCCAUUAGUUGCUUUAUUAGCUUUGGCUGUAAAUUCUGGACAAAACAAAUUUUCCGCGUCAGCUAAGCUUUAUGGGUCUACUCCGGAAGAAGAAAGAAAUUUACUUGAAGAACAGAAACGUGAAAUUGAAGGGAAUUUUGACAUUCAUGAUCGCGGUAGAAUCAUCGAUGAAUUUCAGCAGUGUUUUGACAAAGACUCCCUUCUUUUGGGCUGUGCUUGUUGCGGAAUUAGAGCUUUCCAAAUGAACAAAAUGCUCUACCAUCCAGUUCCUGUCACUGAAUUAGAUUUGCUUAAAUUAAACGAAGAACGUCAAUUGUUGUUUUACGCAAUACCCCACCCAUAUCAGCUAUCUGUUAGCGUAUACCUUUCGAGUUCAGGUUUUCUUUCACCUAACCUUACCUAACCAUAGUUCCGUCAAUUAAUUUUGGGCUUUGAAUUGGUUAUUUGUUUCAACAGGUAAACUUUAUCAUCUUCAUCCUGAACUGGUAAAAGACGGUAUUGCUUCACUUUGUUCUACUUGUCACCGAAAUAUCACAAGUAGUAAACCGAAAAUUCCAAAACUCUGUAUCGCUGCUGGUAUUGACUUUGGUCAUCCUGGUCGAUUAGGACUUCCGCAGUUAACUCUUUCAGAAGAACUUCUUUUUUGCCGCAGUCGUCAAUAUGUCUCAAUUUUGAAACUUGUCGGAUAUAAUACUUCCGAACGACAAAAAGCAAAAAAAGGUCACGUGAUUACGUACCCCCAACCAGAUGGCACUACAAAAUUGGCGGAACUUCAGAGAUUGAAUUCAAAUUUUGAUGGAAGAGAGUAUCCUCGAACGGAAAAUUUCGGUGAAUUUCUCUCGAUUUGUUUGAUCGGUUCUCGACUAAAAUUCGACUCUUUAAUUCCAACUCGUUUCGGAGACGUCAAUGAACUGCGCGUCCGAGUCGAUGUUGUCUAUCUUUGGCUUCAUGCUCUUAAACAUCUCAACCCUUUAUAUCGCAAUGCUUCUAUCAUUGAAACAGAAGCAAUGCAUAUGAAGUUGCAAAACAUUUUGAAGGAUCAUCUGAUGUGCCAACAGAUGAAAUUCGAGAUUCUGAUAAAAAUCCAGACAUGCCAAUGCCCGUUUCUCUCCUAACACUUUUUUUGCCUGUAACUACGGACCAAACACAAUCUGUUAGGAUAGCUUUAAGGGGUCUUUUAGAAACCUUAGAUACAUCUGCAAACGUUAAUGUUCUACAUUCGUUCCAUGGAGAACCCCUAAAUUCCGAAAACGUGAAUGAAGAGAUUGACCAACAUAUAAGCCAGAUUCAUAUCGAGAGUGAAGCUUCACCCUUCAAUGAAUUUGAAGAAAAUGACAGGCUGUUUUAUUCAUCGUUUCCAUUUCUCUUCAUUUUGGGCUGUGGGCUUGAAUCAAGUGUAACUGUGUCUUCAUCUUACGUGAGACACAUGAUGUUUCAAUUUACUGGAAGUUUUUCAUCGUGUAUUCGUCUCAUCUUUGUUCUAUUCGACUAGCUUCAACGUCACGCAGCUUCUCGCGUAAUCGCUUCCAGGGUUAAGUGCAAUCCAAUAUCGUUUGACACUUUUUCCAAGUGGGUUAAUGAUCCAGCAUUUAUUAAUCAGUUGAAAGAAACAGCAAAAGAUCCUAAAUCAA
This is an RNA transcript of Daphnia magna, 2164 nucleotides long. RefSeq lists it as uncharacterized. The transcript is spliced from 8 exons. The record is from RefSeq and is a predicted model, not a curated record. Lineage: Eukaryota; Metazoa; Arthropoda; Branchiopoda; Diplostraca; Daphniidae.